RNAcentral lists this ribosomal RNA (253 nucleotides) under uncultured bacterium. RNAcentral's name for it is "partial 16S ribosomal RNA". It matches the Rfam family "Bacterial small subunit ribosomal RNA", at positions 524 to 776 of the family's 1533-position model. The record is from RNAcentral.
UACGUAGGGGGCAAGCGUUGUCCGGAUUUAUUGGGCGUAAAGAGCGUGUAGGCGGUUAGGUAGGUCCGUUGUGAAAACUCGAGGCUCAACCUCGAGACGUCGGCGGAAACCCUCUGGCUAGAGUCCGGAAGAGGAGAGUGGAAUUCCUGGUGUAGCGGUGAAAUGCGCAGAUAUCAGGAAGAACACCCGUGGCGAAGGCGGCUCUCUGGGACGGUACUGACGCUGAGACGCGAAAGCGUGGGGAGCAAACAGG